CCUACGGGCGGCAGCAGUGAGGAAUAUUGGUCAAUGGACGAGAGUCUGAACCAGCCAAGUAGCGUGAAGGAUGACUGCCCUAUGGGUUGUAAACUUCUUUUAUAUGGGAAUAAAAUGUUCCACGUGUGGGAUUUUGUAUGUACCAUAUGAAUAAGGAUCGGCUAACUCCGUGCCAGCAGCCGCGGUAAUACGGAGGAUCCGAGCGUUAUCCGGAUUUAUUGGGUUUAAAGGGAGCGUAGGCGGAUUGUUAAGUCAGUCGUGAAAGUUUGGGGCUCAACCGUAGAAUUGCAGUUGAAACUGGCAGUCUUGAGUACAGUAGAAAUGGGCGGAAUGCGUGGUGUAGCGGUGAAAUGCAUAGAUAUCACGAAGAACUCCGAUUGCGAAGGCAGUACACUGGACUGCAACUGACACUGAGGCACGAAAGUGUGGGUAUCGAACAGGAUUAGAUACCCCAGUAGUC
RNAcentral lists this ribosomal RNA (460 nucleotides) under uncultured bacterium. Its description in RNAcentral is "partial 16S ribosomal RNA". It matches the Rfam family "Bacterial small subunit ribosomal RNA", at positions 338 to 795 of the family's 1533-position model. The record is from RNAcentral.